CUAUCAAUAAGCAGUGGGAACGCAAGUUGCAUUG
RNAcentral lists this ribosomal RNA (34 nucleotides) under Pythium aphanidermatum. Its description in RNAcentral is "partial 18S ribosomal RNA". Lineage: Eukaryota; Oomycota; Peronosporomycetes; Pythiales; Pythiaceae. The record is from RNAcentral.